AAGAAAAUGAGAAGGAAGUUGCUUCAAGAUAAGGCCAGAGAGAUCUAGAAGAAAGGAUCUGAGUGACAGGCUUAGGUGCGUUGUCUGCGUCCCAGGAACAGAGCAAAGCACACUGGCUCAGGCAUGAGGAAGCCACACCCCAAUCCUGCCUUUCAGGUGCCAAUGGAGAACAACCCCUUCAGCGGAACCAUGGUGCUUUACAUCUCUCUCUGAACUCUCAGAUCUCCUAAGUGGAGAUGGCUGAUUAAGGCUCUUAUCUUUCACGUUCUAAAAUCAAUUUAGUGUUGUUCGGAGCCAGCA
Molecule: long non-coding RNA, 300 nt
Filed under: Homo sapiens (human)
Lineage: Eukaryota; Metazoa; Chordata; Mammalia; Primates; Hominidae
Description: non-protein coding lnc-CA1-4:1
Source: RNAcentral